Molecule: ribosomal RNA, 1000 nt
Filed under: uncultured bacterium
Lineage: Bacteria
Description: bacterial SSU rRNA
Rfam family: Bacterial small subunit ribosomal RNA
Source: RNAcentral
CAAUGCCGCGUGAAUGAUGAAGGUCUUUGGAUCGUAAAGUUCUGUUGUCGCUAUGGAAAACCUUAGAGGAGGAAAUGCCUUUAGCUUGACCUGGCUUCCAGAAAGCCACGGCUAACUACGUGCCAGCAGCCGCGGUAAUACGUAGGUGGCAAGCGUUAUCCGGAAUUAUUGGGCGUAAAGAGUGAGCAGGCGGCAGUUUAAGUCUGAAGUCAAAUGCAGUGGCUCAACCACUGUCCGCUUUGGAAACUGAACAGCUAGAGUACGAGAGAGGUAUGUGGAAUUCCAUGUGUAGCGGUGAAAUGCGUAGAUAUAUGGAGGAACACCAGAGGCGAAGGCGGCAUACUGGAUCGAUACUGACGCUCAGUCACGAAAGCGUGGGUAGCAAAUAGGAUUAGAUACCCUAGUAGUCCACGCCGUAAACGAUGAAAAUUAGGUGUUAGGGUCAAACCUAGCGCCGAAGCUAACGCAUUAAGUUCUCCGCCUGGGGAGUACGUUCGCAAGAAUAAAACUUAAAGGAAUUGACGGGGGCCCGCACAAGCAGUGGAGCAUGUGGAUUAAUUCGAUGAUACGCGAAGAACCUUACCAGGGCUUGACAUAGCUACUAAGACCCUAGAGAUAGGGGGAUAAUAGGAGCAUACAGGUGGUGCAUGGUUGUCGUCAGCUCGUGUCGUGAGAUGUUAGGUUAAGUCCUCCAACGAGCGCAACCCUUGUCCUUAGUUACCAUCAUUAAGUUGGGGACUCUAAGGAGACCGCCGGUGUAAAUCGGAGGAAGGUGGGGAUGACGUUAAAUCAUCAUGCCCCUUACGUCCUGGGCGUCACACGUGCUACAAUGGUCGGUACAAUGGGCAGCUACCGGGCGACCGGAUGCCAAUCUCUAAAACCACUCUCAGUUCGGAUCGGAGUCUGCAACUCGACUCCGUGAAGCUGGAUUCGCUAGUAAUCGCGCAUCAGCCACGGCGCGGUGAAUACGUUCCCGGGCCUUGUACAAAAGGCCCGUCAA